Molecule: ribosomal RNA, 482 nt
Filed under: uncultured bacterium
Lineage: Bacteria
Description: partial 16S ribosomal RNA
Rfam family: Bacterial small subunit ribosomal RNA
Source: RNAcentral
AUUGAACGCUGGCGGCAUGCUUUACACAUGCAAGUCGAACGGUAACAGCACUUCGGUGGCUGACGAGUGGCGAACGGGUGAGUAAUACAUCGGAACGUGCCUAGUAGUGGGGGAUAACUACUCGAAAGAGUAGCUAAUACCGCAUGAGAUCUAAGGAUGAAAGCAGGGGACCUUCGGGCCUUGCGCUACUAGAGCGGCUGAUGGCAGAUUAGGUAGUUGGUGGGAUAAAAGCUUACCAAGCCGACGAUCUGUAGCUGGUCUGAGAGGACGACCAGCCACACUGGGACUGAGACACGGCCCAGACUCCUACGGGAGGCAGCAGUGGGGAAUUUUGGACAAAGGGCGCAAGCCUGAUCCAGCAAUGCCGCGUGCAGGAUGAAGGCCUUCGGGUUGUAAACUGCUUUUGUACGGAACGAAAAGCCCUCUUCUAAUACAGGAGGGUCAUGAAGGUACCGUAAGAAUAAGCACCGGCUAACUACGUG